Molecule: long non-coding RNA, 967 nt
Organism: Gastrolobium bilobum
Lineage: Eukaryota; Viridiplantae; Streptophyta; Magnoliopsida; Fabales; Fabaceae
Exons: 3
Source: RefSeq, a predicted model, not a curated record
AUCAAUUAGCAGCCUCCACAUGCGCCCAAUGAAGAAUAUAAAACUGAUCAGCUUGCAGGUGCCCUUUAGUGGGCAGAAACCUUACACCCUUUCCCCACACUCACAUGUGCGCAUGGUAAGGAGAGGUCUUGAUAAAAUUCUGGCCCUGGGUGAUAUUGCAAUCAGAUUUUAAACUCUUCUCUUCCUCCUUCUUAUGCGUUGUGUAAUAUAAGUUGUGGCUGAACUCUUAACCCUUAAACAGAAACCUGGUCUUCCCCUCUCCUCUUGACCGUGUUCACCCUAGCUAAGCACAUCAGAAUCAUUGUUAUAACAUUUUCCUUCCCUCACAAAAAAAAAAAAACCGUGAGCCAACAUAGAAGGAUAUCAAGAACAACAACACCUGAAUCUUUCCCUUUCCCUUAUUCUAGCAAGGCUGCGUGCUCCUUGAGCAGGGAACAAAAUCACUCAGCAUUUUCCUCCUUUAUUUCUUGUUGAUCGAACUCCACAUAACAAGAAGACCGAAGCCUUGGAGCAUAAGAGGAACCUCCGACUGCAUGCACGAUUAAACCUUGACUCUAGUCUUCCACCUUUUCUCCUUGUGCGUACGAUCACCAUUUAGGAGGGCUGGACCUGUUGCCUUCGUGGAGCUUAGGAGGCUUGGUGUUGCUUCUCAUUUCGUGUGUUUCCUUGUGUGUGUGCUUGCAAGAGGUACGAAAAAUCCUUGAGAAGUUGGACUAUAUCACUGCUUGUUGGUAACUUAAAUUUCGACGUACGAGGAUGACGUAAAAGCAUUUGAGGACUUGGAUGUUGAACUCUGUUAUAUUUUUGCUGCUGUCUGGAUUUAUUCACUGUUGACUGAUUUAAGCUUGGGAUGACUGUAUUAUGUGGUACUUGAUGAUUUUUGGAUGACUGUAAAACUAUGACAUAUUUCUGCUUUAAGUCUUUUUAUGAACAACGGCUGCUUUAAGAAAUCUGAAAUGUUUUGCGA